CUGGCUUCAGAGCUUUUGGUGAGUCAUCUGGCAACGGCAGUUUCAAUUUACCUCUAGACUGUGGCUCCAUUUCAGCAGUUUUAUCCCAACUGAAGCGAGUGAAUGAUUGGUUAGACCACGAAGUUUCAAGCAGAGAUGAGCCACGCGUUGCAAAGAUUGAACAGUUGAAGAGAAAAAUUUAUGGUUUUGUUAUACAGCAUGUGGGAACUACUUAUGACAAUGCUGCGUCUGCUGCUUCAUCUUGAUUACCUGUUACUUAUCCGUUGAAAGUUCACUACCUCUUUGAAUUUGCAAAUGAUCCUCAUCACCACUUUAAUACUUUGCUCGACUAAUUGGUAAAUUGUUAUAACUGUGUCUUCCAAUUUAGUUUUGUGGCCGUGAUAAGAAGUUUCAAGCUCUUGUAACUUUACUCUUCUUCCUGGUUUCAGUGUUAUUAGAUAUUCAUAAUGUAAUAAUUGUUUUCAGAAAACAGAAAUCACUUGAAAUGUUUUGUGAUUAUUCAAGAUUUGUUAUUUGAUGAAAAAGUAGCGUCUCUUCUAAUUUGGUCUAAGGAUUCAUGUCUGUGCAUCUUGUCCCAAGCUCCAAAGGCUUUCAAUCAAAAGACCGCAAGCAGGGCAGCUAUAAAAGAGCCUGUCCAAUAUGGUGGUUUUGCUAUUUAACAACAGGCCCAUAAUGAAAAGAGGUUAAAAAAGAGAAAACAACAAAAACAACAUGGGGAAAAAAAAACUCAAGUUGAUGUCAAAUAUGACAUUAUUAAUUUAAGAGGCCAGUUAUAUUAGAACUGUGGAGCAAUGAUAAUAGCCGUAUGAUUAUAAAAAUAAAUAUUAAAUUUGCAUUUAUUGUUAUGAUCUGACGGUUAUCUUUAGUGCUCCAUAAUAAAGUAAUUCAAUUGUAACCAUUGCCUUAAUUUAAUUAUAUGAAAUACUAUAUCUACCCUAUUUCUUAGUUUUCAAUUGCAUACGAUCACGUUUAGCCAUUUCAAUUCGCUCAUCUUUCGUAUUUAACAAAGCCUUAAUCAUUUGUGUGCUCUAUUUUUUUUAUUCUUUAGACCUAAAUUAUAGCAGACGAUUGACCUUUAUGCUGAAUUAUUAGCCUAAUUGAGAUUCCAAUCAACAUUUUACAUUGCAUUCUGUACUAAACUAUCUAUAUUUUGUACACACCAAAGACAAGAUUCAUAAAGCAUAUGCAUAUCUUAUCAAUUCAACGGUUACAUAUUUUAAUAAUUUGACAUUUUUAUAUUAAGAAAUGGUAGCACUCGUGCUUUUAUUGUCAAUAGCUUAUUGAGCAUUUAAUUAUUUUAAUUAGCAUUGAGAGCUAUAUGGCUAUCUAGAAAGUUGACCUAUCCUAAAUUUCUAAAUCUGUAAAAGAAUAUAUUCAAAAGUAUUUUUAAAAACAAAAUAUUAAACAAAAAAAGGGUGGAAAGUUAAUGGGCAUUAUUUAUACAAGCUCUUAUAUCAAACCCACUCAAACUAAUGUGUCAAAUUUAUAUUUUUGUACAAUAAUGAUAUGGGCACAAAAAAUAGUAAAUUAUCACUAAAAGACAAAAAAAAUUAACUACAUGAUAAAAAAUUAUUAUAGAAUAAGAUUUUUUUUAAUCUUUUAUUUCUUUUGUACUAGAUUUUAUUUUAUUUUUGAUACAUCUAUCAUUAUUCUAUCAACAUCACAUGUUUUAUAUUAUUUGUUUAUUCAUUCAAAAAUAUUUUUAAAAAGGUGCUAAUAACGCAUAUAAGAAGAUGUAAAACUUUUAUAAGCGGGCAUUUUUAGGGCCUAAGUCUUAAAAAUAUAAAUAUAGGUUUUUUUUUUAAUAUGAUAUUGUUAUAGGUCAAAAAGCAAUAAAUCAUGAAAAUAUAAUUCAAGCUAUUUAUUUAAUUAUUAAUAUUUUUUCCUUGAUGAAAAGGAGAGAUGGGCUAAAACCUCCGAUGUUAAAUAGCCCAACAACAGACCGAUGUUGCCCAUUAAGAAUUAAUGCCAACUCGCCAUGUAUCACGCACUGACGCACUAGUAUAAAAUCAGUGGACCCGAAACACACCUGCAUGCCAGCCACGUGUCUCUUGAUCGUUGAGCUUAUCCACCUUACAUAUUUGUACCUAUCCAUACACAGACUCACCAGAAAACAUCACACCUAAGAUGGGGACCACCAAAAAUAAAACCUCAUCAUCAAAAAAUCCAACGGCUCACCUUCACUUCCUCAGCAGCACACUGUCACAUAUCCCCCUCUCUGUUUUGUGGAAUGCCCUAAAAAUAAAAGAGCACCAUCAUCAUCUUGCGCUUAUGUUCUCUGCUAAUAGAUAAAACAAGGGGGAAAUAAAGAGAGAGAGAGAGAGAGAAACAAAUACUAAACCGAAAGCCAAAUUAAAGCCUUUGGGGUGCCAACGUGCGUUGCCCCAAAGCCCCAUUAACCAUCGCCACUGACUCUCUCAAAUAAAACGAGAGACAAGAAAUAAGAAAUAUACAAGCAAUACAC
This 2464-nucleotide long non-coding RNA is filed under the name Citrus sinensis (sweet orange). RNAcentral describes it as "long non-coding RNA (CSIN_LNC001798)". Lineage: Eukaryota; Viridiplantae; Streptophyta; Magnoliopsida; Sapindales; Rutaceae. The record is from RNAcentral.